UUUUCCCCCAGCCGGCGCUCAGCUGGGGCGGAGGAAGAGGCGGCCGGGGCCUGCCGAGCCGUUGCAGUCUUCGCGGCUGCUAUGCCCAGGGAGCGCAGCGCCCUCCGCAGCCCCGCGCAGCGCUAGAGGCGGCCGAGCGCCCGCCGACGCCGCCCGGAUUCCCGGUGCCUCCGCUCCCCGAGUCCCGCAGCUCCCGCGGCUCCUCCGGCGCUGCCUGCGAGGCCAGGCGGAGGCGAGAUGAAGAUGACGGUGGAUUUCGAGGAGUGUCUGAAGGAUUCGCCCCGCUUCAGGGCCGCAUUGGAGGAAGUGGAGGGCGAUGUGGCUGAGCUGGAACUGAAGCUGGACAAGCUUGUGAAACUUUGUAUCGCGAUGAUUGAUACCGGCAAAGCCUUUUGUCUUGCAAAUAAACAGUUCAUGAAUGGGAUUCGAGACCUGGCCCAGUAUUCUAGCAAUGAUGCUGUGGUUGAGACAAGCUUGACCAAGUUUUCUGACAGUCUUCAAGAAAUGAUAAAUUUCCAUACAAUCUUGUUUGACCAAACUCAGAGAUCAAUUAAGGCACAGCUUCAGAACUUUGUCAAAGAAGAUCUUAGAAAAUUCAAAGAUGCCAAGAAACAAUUUGAAAAAGUCAGUGAAGAAAAGGAAAAUGCGCUAGUGAAAAAUGCCCAAGUUCAAAGAAACAAACAACAUGAGGUUGAAGAGGCCACGAACAUCCUCACAGCCACACGGAAGUGCUUCCGGCACAUAGCCCUUGACUACGUCCUUCAGAUUAAUGUGCUUCAAUCAAAAAGGAGAUCAGAAAUCCUGAAAUCAAUGCUGUCCUUCAUGUACGCACAUCUGGCCUUCUUCCAUCAAGGGUACGACCUGUUCAGUGAGCUCGGACCCUACAUGAAGGAUCUUGGAGCACAGUUGGAUCGACUGGUUGUGGAUGCUGCAAAGGAGAAAAGGGAGAUGGAGCAAAAACAUUCUACUAUCCAACAGAAGGAUUUCUCCAGUGAUGAUUCCAAGCUAGAGUAUAACGUAGAUGCUGCGAAUGGCAUUGUCAUGGAAGGGUAUCUGUUCAAGCGAGCCAGCAACGCCUUCAAAACAUGGAACAGGAAAAAGCCCGAUCAUAUCAGACGCUGGUUCUCCAUACAGAACAAUCAGUUGGUUUACCAGAAAAAGUUUAAGGACAGCCCCACCGUGGUGGUGGAAGACCUCAGGCUCUGCACGGUGAAGCACUGUGAAGACAUCGAACGGCGCUUCUGCUUUGAGGUGGUCUCUCCAACAAAAAGUUGCAUGCUCCAGGCAGAUUCCGAAAAGCUUCGCCAGGCCUGGAUUAAGGCUGUUCAGACCAGUAUUGCAACUGCUUAUAGAGAGAAGGAUGAUGAGAAACUGGAUAAGAAAUCAUCUCCAUCAACAGGAAGCCUAGACUCGGGAAAUGAAUCCAAAGAGAAAUUGCUGAAAGGAGAAAGCGCGCUGCAGCGUGUCCAGUGCAUUCCCGGCAACACCAGCUGCUGUGACUGUGGCCUGGCAGACCCACGGUGGGCCAGCAUCAACUUGGGCAUUACCUUGUGCAUUGAGUGCUCUGGGAUUCAUCGGAGUCUUGGGGUUCAUUUUUCGAAAGUACGAUCCUUAACUUUAGACACAUGGGAGCCUGAGCUUCUAAAGCUUAUGUGUGAAUUGGGGAAUGAUGUUAUAAAUCGUGUUUAUGAAGCUAAACUGGAUAAAAUGGGAAUAAAGAAACCACAGCCAGGACAAAGACAGGAGAAAGAGGCAUAUAUCAGAGCGAAGUAUGUGGAGAGGAAAUUUGUGGAUAAGGACUCUACGUUGUCCUCCCCUUUUGAGCAGGAGAAAAGAAUCAUCUCCAAAAGCUGUGAGGAGCAGAGGCUGAGCCACAGCAGAGUGUCUGUCCACACCUCAGUGGCUGCUGUCAGUAGCGACGAGGCCAGGCGGGAGUCUCUGUUCUGUCCUGAUGAGCUAGAUUCACUCUUCUCCUACUUUGAUACUUCUUCAAAACUGCGUAGUAUCAAAAGUAAUGACAGUGGGAUCCAGCAAGGCUCUGAUGAUGGCAGAGAAUCGUUACCUUCCACCGUGUCAGCCAACAGCUUAUACGAGCCUGAAGGAGAAAGGCAAGAAUCUGUGUUUCUUGACUCUAAACAUCUUAAUCCAGGACUUCAGCUUUAUAGGGCUUCAUAUGAAAAAAACCUUCCCAAAAUGGCUGAGGCUUUGGCUCAUGGUGCAGAUGUGAACUGGGCUAAUUCAGACGAACACCAAGCAACACCACUCAUUCAGGCUGUAUUAGGGGGCUCUUUGGUGACAUGUGAGUUCCUCUUACAGAAUGGUGCUAAUGUGAACCAAAGAGAUGUCCAAGGGCGGGGACCACUGCACCACGCCACCGUCUUAGGACACACAGGGCAGGUAUGUUUAUUCCUAAAGCGAGGUGCCAAUCAACAUGCCACUGAUGAAGAGGGGAAGGACCCUUUGAGUAUUGCCGUGGAAGCAGCCAAUGCAGACAUAGUCACCCUGUUACGCUUAGCAAGAAUGAACGAAGAAAUGCGGGAAUCAGAAGGACUUUAUGGACAGCCAGGUCAAUAUUCUACUAAUAAUCAUACUGAAAUGCAGUAUAAAAAAUGCAUUCAGGAAUUUAUCAGUUUACAAUUGGAAGAUUCAUAGUUUCUUAGCUGACUGAUGAGAUAUUACAGAGACUUUAUAAUGUCCUUGUAAAUUGUGAGCUGUUAGCUUCUGUACUGUACUUCCUGAAUUCUUGGGUGGCCAAUCCUGGGCCUCUGCACACUCGGACCUGUUCCUAUUUCAGUACACUUGUACUUAGCGUAUUCAGUGAGCUCUGGCUGCCGACACCCUCGUCUGCUGUACAGAUGUCUUCCACGUGCAUUCCAGCGAGAGUGCCCUGACGAACGCUAGCGUGCUGCAGCAGCAGGGAGCAGCUUCCAAAGGAGUCUCGUUAGCUGUCCAGUGAAUAGAACAAAAUGCUUUUCUUUUGGUUAUUCAGGGAAUUUCUAUACAUUGUGUUCAGGGAACAAAAACAAAUCACCAUGUGUUUUGUAUAUAAAAAAGUUAGUAUGGAAAAAUAUCGAGAAAAAGUUUAUUGAUAAGUUUUGUAUUCUGAGUCGAAGAUUUAAAGUAAAAAAUUGCCAAUAAGUUAAAAGUCCACAGUGGGUGUAGUUUUAGAGGCUGAAAUUUAUCGCUAGCUUUGCCCCAGGCAAAUGUACACUAUUUGCUGGGGUGAGUAGAUGUAGUCAGAACAGUGUUUUGUGAACCUGAUGGCGAAGUAUACUUCUUAGAAAAAUCUCAAUUCGUGGUCACCUCAGUCUUUACCUUGACUGAUCUUCACCUGUGAGUCCUGGUGUGAAGAAAGGAAGAGAGGCUGGUCAAGCUCUUCUGUUUGAUGGAGGCACGCUGGUGAGCCAUCUUCACAAGGAAGGACAUCACAUUCUAGUUCACGAGUCUUGAAUGUAUGAAUUACUAAUCUGCUUUGAAUUCAUACACAUAUUACUAGCCAUUUCAGGAACUCACACCCAAAUUACUUACAGACAGACUUUCGCUUUGCAAUGAGAAGAUGUGUUUUAUAAAAUGAAUAGUUAUAUUAUUAUUUUUAAAGUGGCCUGGUGAUAUCAUCUCGUUGAAGUAUAUUUUGAAAAUUUUGUGCUUUAUGUUACCUUCAGCCACGUUUUAAAUUUUGACUACAGUGUGAGGUUAUUUUUUUCUCAGAGGACUGUAUUAAUUACUUAUUUUUGGCCUGAUGUAAGAAGGAUGAAGAAAGAACCUAGCUCAGAUAGGUACUCCUAAUCUAGGGUGUGUCGCUUUAAUCCUGUGGCGUAUGCGCACUGCCAGGUCAGGGUGUUCUGAGGUGAGACUCAGCGUUCGCUCUGACUUUCACCUGUUUGUCUCAGAGUUGGAUGUUAGCUCUUUAAAAAGUUCUAAUUUUGUAACAGAUCUCUUUAAAUCAUAGUAUUACAGGGCCACUGCGGAGGCCUUUGUGUUUAAGCACUUUAAAUAGAAAUUGAUCAAAGAAUAUGAGCUGAUGCUUGUGAGGUAGCAGUGAACUUCAAGGCUGUAAGUUGUUACAUUUGUAGUUUCCUGAAAUGGUGAAGGCAAAUGUUGAGUCAGCUGCACCUUCCUUAAGGUGCCUGCCAUGAUGCCUGCCUAGCUGUUGAGUUAGAGGUCUGAGGUAAGAGGUCAGCGGUCCUCUUGCUCUGUGGUUGGGAAUUUGCAAGGGCAGGGCCUCUCUGUUUGCUCCACUUCUGGUCCUGCUUGAAGUUCUUCUGUCCUCCAGGAGUGUCGAGAUGUCCCUCUCACUGUUGUAUGUGCAGGUUUGUAUGUGGGUAUAGGAACUUACAGAUAUCAGUAAGAAAAGAAUUUUUUCCUCGAUUUUUAAUGAAAACAGGCCUCACUUUAAAACAUUUUUUGAACCAUCUUUAAAUUUUAGUUUAGAAGUUAAAAUUUAAAAUUCUGCCAGCGAUGCCAGGUUUAAAAUAAGAUUUAAAAAAAAACAAACAAACAAAAAAAAAACACAACACCUAUUUGAAAUACCUUGAAAAUAACUACAUUUUAAUCUUAGUUUGGGGGACAAGUGUGUAGAGGAGAUCUUCUGCAUGUCAGGCAGUGUGGUGAGGUGGUGCAGGGGCUGCGCUCUGUGGCUCCUCUUUGCCCUCCUGAGUCUUGGCUCCCAAAGCAGCUCUUCCUGGUUUCUCUGCAUCUCACUGCAUUUCCCCGGCAGUCUGUGCCUAACUGCUUCAUUGGUGUCCUAGCCAUAGAAGAGAAGCAUCAGAACUCUGGGCAGUUCGUAGGUACAGAAAUUGUCAGUCUUUUGAUAGUGACAGGCCUACUAUUUAAAGGACCCCGUUAUAAUGCUUGGCAAUCACAUACUUAUUUCUAGGAAACCCCAUUUCUAAACCCCGUGGGCUCCCAUUUGUCUUGCAAAGCAGAAUUAAGAGCAUACAGCUUCUAAAAGGAAGGUGGGUUCUCUUUCCGCAACCUUAGACUUCUUAGGUGGCCUGGCUGGUGAGGGUACCACACCUUGCUCUCAAUGGUGGGGAGCCGGUUAGGAGAUUCCCAUUGCUGGUCCUGGGUCUCUGGAGGGUCGGCAGGUUCUCAGGCAGUGGGAAUCACUGCGUUAAGGAGCCACUUCUGGUCAUGUAAGUAUGUAGCUUCUGGGAACUAUCCAAUCAUUUGUGGAAGGAAAAUCGUCCCAGCCGGAAGGGGCAGAUGGCGCCUGCUGUCACAGCGGGUGGUUAUCGCAUCCUUUUGAGAACAUUCAUUUCCAUGCUGAGGUCACUGACCUCUCUCAGCCACGGUAACUGUGUUGUGAUGUAAUAUUCUGACUACCAAAAACUGAGAGUGAAUUUAAGCUGUCGACGGAAACCUAGAAGUAUAUAUUUUAAACACUCAGAUUUGUUCAGGUGCAAAAAAAACUUGAACUUUCUGAAUGGGGGGAAAAACUUGGUUAAGGAAUUUAAAGACUAUACUUAGCUGUUUUUUGUAGUAAGGUGUUCAGUGUAUGAAUAGGAAAAUUCCAGGACAGUGUAUCCCGGAAUCUUGUUCAUGUGUUGUAGUUCGGACAAAUUAGAUUUGCCUUGGGGAAAUCUUCAAGUGAUUAAAAUUCUCCUUAAAGUUUAGGCAAUGAAGUUCACUUUGUGUUGGCUAUUUAAGUAAACCACUGUCGUUGCUUUUGACAGAACAUUUUGAGGUCUGAGGAAGGUAGCAUACUAAUAGUGCAUUAUUAGUUAACAAAAACCGGAAUUUAAUGAGUUCUGUGUGUGAAGCUAGAAACUUCCUUUUGUAUUGUAUGAACUCUUAAAUGUUUGCAGUCUGUGAAACCAAUGAUAAUUACAGCACCAACACUCUCUUCAAGGACGCGUUUAAUUCAGCGAAUGAAAGGUCUUCUAAUUAGUUUUGCAUGGUACAAUGGUUCUUACUAAAAAUGUACUUGUAUAAUAUGUACUGGGUGAUUUAAAAUCAAACACUAGAAAAUCAUAAAGAAAAACAGCUUUUUACACAGAAUAUGCAUUGCUGAAUGUAGAAGCCAUAUAUCGCCACUGUACUGUUGUAAUACUUGAGAACGCUCAUCUGGUGCUAUUUGUGAAUGACUUGGCGUUAGCAUCUGCUAGAUCCUUUUCCCUUUCCUUCCUGAAUAUAUAAUGUGUGCCUUUUACGUUACUUCUGGUGUUGAAUGGUAAAAUCAAUGUGGUAUUUUUGUAUUAUAAUCUGCACUUUACACUUUCUUGGAAAGUAAAAUUCUAGACUAUCUGAAUAGUAUUUUAAAAAUAUUUAUAAUGUUUACAAUAAAUAUUUUACAUAUUUUAAUUCAACAUCUAAAAAAAGUAAAAAAAAUUAAAAUAUUUUGUAUGGUUUGCUAAUUGUUAUUUAAUGUUGCACUCUUCUCAGUUUGCUUUACGUUCCGUAGGAUGGCCAAGCACAGGAAUAGGUUAUAGUUUGCCGUGCAUAUCAUCGGACAGUUUGACUAGUUUUCUGGGUUAGCCUUUAGUCUGCUUCAGUCCUAAUGGGCCGAGUCAGUGCUGGUCUCCAGCCAGCCUGUUAGAGGCUUUUCUCACUGUACUUUACCUUCUAAAGUAGAUUGGUUAGGGUCAGCUGACUAUUUCAUGUCAUCAUCAAAUGUCCAGCAUUUUAACAAAUUGCAUUUCACAUAAGCUAAAUAUUAAGAGUACUAAAAUCUUUUUAUGAAAAAUCUUGCGUUAUGUUUUUAGGUCUUUUCACUAGAUUUUUAUCUGGCCCCCUCAAUGUUUUUCUGAUGCUCUAGCCAAUGAGUUUAGUGAACAGUGGAUCAGAUACAUUAGUUCCAAAGCACAAAGUGUGUGUGAACUACUUUUUACAAACAGCUAUUUCAGUGUAAAAUGCUCCUUGUUAAUGAGAGCAUAGGAGGAGGUUUUUCUCUGCCUGACAGCUAGCCUGGCGCCUUCGUAACAUGUGUCCAUCAGAACCUUCACUAGUAUCUGGCUUCAGUCAUUUCUUUUAACUUUUAUCAAAGAAAGUAUUUUCUUAAAAAAUGUGCUGUUUAAUUCAUUUAAAAAACCCUUUUCUUUCGUGUGCUAAUGAACGUGUUUCUUCACAUUGCUUUCAAACGCUUGCAUCUUGCUCCUCUCUAACUCUGAGCUUCCUUCUGCGGUGCAGCUGAGGUCCUCCUCUCAGGUGAUGAAACUUACCAGGACAUUUUUCGUGAUUUUUCUCAAAUGGCAUCCAAUAAUCCAGAGAAACUCAAUCGUUUCCAACAAGAUUCACAGAAGUUCUGAGCCUUUUAAAAAGGGGGAAACUAUGAAAUUUGGUGAAUUCCCAGUGUGUACAACCAAAAACUCAUACAUUUUUACUACUUUAAUUCUACUUACUUAAUUUUGGUUGGCAUUGAAUUAUUUGGAAAAAAUAGUACCCAUUCAUUGGUAUUUUUGUAAAUGAAAACAGUUCCCUCAUAUUUGGGAAAUCCACUAUAGUUCCUCUUUUAUUUAAGGAAAAAAAAAGUCUUUUUAGUGGAUUGUGCUUUUAUAUAAAGUCGUUUCCAGAUCUAAGCCAUCUCUAAGUUCUGGAAUGCUCCACUGUUAGACCCCUGUAUCCUUUGCCAUGGGUGGUAUACUGGUCCCCCAAGAACAUUAAAUGCCUGUGUCUGUAUCACGUGGGAGCUAGUGUCUUACCUGGUUGGAGGGUGUGUCUCUUCUGUGACUGCCCCGAUUAUUGUCGGUGGGUGGUUCAGAAAUCCAUGUGUGCUUUCCGGUAGCGUAGCUGCGGUGCCCACGACACUGGAUGCAAUCGCUAGGACUAGUGAGGAUGUCCUUCAUUCUCUCAGAGGUGCCAGUGCCCUUCAGCACUCCAGCAGACACUGCUGCCGUCUGGGUGGACCACACGUCAGUCUUCAGAUUUAUUUCAUCUUAUGGUGCAAAGACGCUCUUUUUCUUUCUUCAAUCACCAGAAGAAUCGUAGCUCAGUUUUUAUUGUUGGGCUGAUUUCCUAAAACCUUGACAGAUCAUCAGUGUGACACAACUGGGUUUUAGAAGUUGAAUAUUGUAAAAUUGGGCUUUCAUCAAAACAGUGAUUUCAAAGAUAAUAUAAGGCAUUUUUAUAUUUGGGACUUGUCCAUUUUAAGAUAAUAUAUUUUUUACUGUUUCUCCUGGUGAAAGAAAAAUCUCCAUGUAAAGGAAGAUAAAACAUUUUUUUUCUGUUUAUACUAAAAUUUACCAGCAAUAAAGUCCUUUUAUUUUUUCUACAUUUAUCUUGUGUACUAUACAACAGUAUACAUUCUUUUAAAUUGUAUCUUGUAUAUAGCUUUAGAAUUAAGUAAAAUGUCAUUGACCUUUGAGUUCCAAAAUUAUGAACGUGUGAUACAGUUUGGUCCAAUUUCACCUCUGACUGAUGUGUCUUGUCAAAGUAUAUCGUAAAUGAGUAAUUGCCUUUUAGUUCAUGUCCAGCACCGUUGAUUACAUUAAUUCUUUUAGAAAUUAUUUGUAAGUAGCAUGAUACUCAGCUUCACAGAAACAUUUUAAAAUGUAUAUAAAGUUAUAGUUAAAUAAAAAUUUUAACAUUUUCCCUACAGAAUGUAGAGCCUUAGUUUGCUUAAAUAUAAAACCAGAGUCUAAGGAGAAAUUAUAUUGGAAUCAAUUGGCAACACUGAUGAGGCUCUGUGGUUUGGCCGAGUUGCAAGCAUGUGAUGCAUAUUUAGUUGGUCACCACACAUUAAGGAUCUACCGUGAUCUGUCCCUGAGGAAGUUCACCCCUCCACAGGUCAAAAGCAUGUUGUCUUUCCUUCUCACUUCAGACUUGCAGAUCACCUGGACUUACAGGUAUCUUGUUAAAGGCAGAAGUCUAAUUCAUAAUAUUUUAGUUGGUGUGUUUUGAAACUCACUGUCCUAAAAUAUGUUCAAGGAAGAGAAAUAGGCUAAAGAAGGGGAGAUAGGGAAGGGAGCCCGCCUUUCCUCCCCGUGCUCGUUCUUGGUCGCCCCUGGAACCCCUGCCUGGUCUGUGAAGGUGCAGAUGCGGCUCCCUUUGGUUCAGCUGCCGGGGGCCGCCGUUCUUCCAGACCUGCUUGCCGCCCUGGCUCCUGUCCUAGUGUGCCCCUAAGUUCCUAGUGUGGCAGUCAGUAGUGUCUGCUGCCCUUUAACGGCUAGAGCAUUUUUAUUUUUUUUAAAGCCUUAAAGAUUCAAGUGCAUUUGAAAUGCCUUAAAGAUGAUUGUGGUUCUGAAGAUCUUUAAAAAAAAAAAAAAAGCUACAUCUUUUAGCAUUGCACGGAGGCUAGCAAUACAAGACUAUAUUUCUGUGACUUAAUUUUCUUAAUGGGCUGGCAAAUUGAAUUGCAGAAAGGAGUGGAGGGUAGCAAGGGUUUAAGUUAGUAGUUGUAAAGCAGGUUGGCUCUUCAUGAGUUCUGCUGUGUUCACAAAUCGCUUUCUGUGGCAUGUUAUGAAGUAUUUCAUGCACUAGGAGAGAUGAGCAUGUGCAAUGUUCUGAUUGCUCUGUUUUCUCUCCAGGACACACAUGCUGAUAAUAGUUUGAUUCUUUGUUAUUAGUCUGUUAGCUCUUUUUCAUCCUCUCGUUAAUGUAAAAUUUGGAUUACUGCCAAAAUAAGAAUAGAGGCGCCGGGAGGGACUCAUGAAAUGCAGCUUUAGUACAGACAUAGACAAAGGUAACCGUUCCCCAGGCUUCACGCGACACAUGUUUAAGAUUCCCAAGAUUUCAAAUUUAUUUUAGUGCAGCCCUUGGAAAUUAAAAAGUUUCCAGCAUUACAAUGUGCCUAAUUAAUUGACGCUGCUGUUUGCUGUAGUUCAGUGAACUUCGUUAUUUACUUCACCCAAAGUAAUCCAGCUUGCAACUUGUACUUUAGUAUGUCAAAGCAUUUUAGGAAAAAAAAAAAUUACACACAUAUUUUACAGAAUUUUAAGUAUGUGAUCAUGUUAGCAGUAUUUAAAAAUAAAAUUUUCUGUGUAUUAGAUAUGAUCAUAAGCCAAGUUGUGUUUAAAACUAGUUAUCCACUUUGAAUAAUUAGACAUUUUCCGAUCAUUCGUUCUCAAAUUCACUUCCUGUGUGGUUGCAUUUUGACCAUUAGCAUGGGCUAGAAAAUGUGGGGAGUGUUUUGUUUUGUUUUUUAAGCAAGAUCCUAUGUCCAUACUAACCUCAGCUCAUAUUCUUCUUGGACCUGGGACUGCCCACAAAGUGAACGGGUGAAGCAAAGCAAAACCAUGAACCCUCCCUUCUUUAUGCUUUAUGGUGCAGAGUGUACUUGCACGUGACCUUUGCCCUCCUGAUGUUACAGUAGGACUUCUGAGACCGUAGUCUAUCCGUGGGUGACAGCCAUGACUGUGUCUUCUUCACCUGAGCCUGCUCCUCUUGUUUUACAGAGAUGGUCACUUGGUUUGCUAGCUGGAUGCAGAGCUGACCUGUGACCCAUGUCUGACAUAUGCUUCAAAAGCACUUGUGACAUGAAAGGGUGUGCAAUCACUGUAAAACGGCAGCUUUCCCUGUGUUUGAGAAGAGACUCCAAAUACUCUGGAGAACCUCAUACAUCGGCAUAUGAAAGCAUCACAUUGUAGAGAAGUCUGCAUUUUUUACAAUAGCAAACAUUAAUAAAAGCAAAAUAUUAUAAAGUUAAACUCAUCUGUUAGCUUCUCAAUGUUUUCUAAUGAAAUGUAACUAUAGGAAGGGCUUGGAUUCAGUCUGGCUGAGUCCUACAACCUAGAAGGAUGAUUUUUGUAGGUAUCUCUUUCUGUUUACAUAGAGGGGGAUCAUGUGGACAAAGAAAAAUUUAAUUAAAUACAAUCUUUCUUUGCAUUGGUCUUCUCACUAUCUUAUUUUGUAGAUCUUUCUCAUCUCCCAACCUUAUUUUGGGUAUUAUUUUUUAACAGGGAAAGCUUGCUGUGUUAUCAAGGUUGUUAGCACCAUUUUACACAAAGGCAAAAGGUUAACUUUUGGAACUGACAAGCUCCUUUUUAUGUGUAUGUUUACUUGUGCUUUGUGGUAUUUCUGGAUCAUUCCGGUCAUCAAGACUGAUGACAUGUACUAUUUCUUGCUACCUUUGAAAAGGAUUUUAAGAAUGUAUAACCAACACUCCAUUACUUUUUAUUAGUAUGUAGAGGAUUUGUAUCUAAUUCAUGAAUGUAGUUUUACUGUAGUUUGUCAUUGUAAAUGAAGCAAAGUACAUUAUCUUUAUAGUUAUUCUAAAAUGUACAUUAUGUAAGAAUUGUAAAUAUACUUGAUUACUUUGUAUGCUGAAAAUUUACAAUAAUAGUCAAUAAAAAAAUCUCACUUCUGGCACAGUUA
Meriones unguiculatus (Mongolian gerbil) is the source of this 11250-nucleotide RNA transcript. It is a transcript of the gene named ArfGAP with coiled-coil, ankyrin repeat and PH domains 2, with no coding region annotated. NCBI's taxonomy places the organism in Eukaryota, Metazoa, Chordata, Mammalia, Rodentia, Muridae. The record is from RefSeq and is a predicted model, not a curated record. The transcript has 25 exons.